Long non-coding RNA from Oncorhynchus kisutch (coho salmon), 1159 nucleotides. RefSeq lists it as uncharacterized. The transcript is spliced from 2 exons. Lineage: Eukaryota; Metazoa; Chordata; Actinopteri; Salmoniformes; Salmonidae. The record is from RefSeq and is a predicted model, not a curated record.
GUGAAAUAGGUGCAGUGCCAGCACUUAUUUUGGGUGCCAAUAGUCUUUAUAUUUAUGUGCCGCAAAUUACAAUAUUUUCAUGCCAAUAUUCUAUAACAGGUGCUGGAACUCAAGCAGUGAGUGUUCAGGAACGGCCUAAUGUCAACUAUUUGUUCCAUUCAUACCACCAGAGAGUUUCGACGAUGGACCUUGGUGAUGGAACAAAUUAUUUCUCUGAGUCUUAACAAAAAGGAUAAACACACACGUUUCCUUUUGGCCCCCAUUCCCAACAAGAAACAAGAAGGAGCCAGCAUUUACCUUUAUGAGGGAGGAUUAAAAAAUGAUGAGCAUUUCAAGAUUCCCACAGCACGUGAGAAGCCCACAGCACUUGAGAAGCCCACAGCACGUGACAGAACUGACAACAGCGAUUGUGGGGAAGCUGGAAUCAGCAAGUGGAAAAGACGUGGUUGUCACUCACCCAAAGACUAAACGAUUGGCUGAAGUUGUAAAAGAGUGAGCUGAAGCACUCUGGGGCUCCAUCAGUUUAUGAGAUGCCCAUGGAAACAAUAGAGCUGGUGAAGAAAGUAGCCAGCCACAGGUUUGGAGAGCAGAUCCCGAAGCCCAAGCAGACGAUCCUUCUAGCGGGUGACGAAGAAGAGGUGAUGCCCGUCAUCAGCACCAUGAUCAACUACUUCCUGGGAAGAUGACUUCUGUUUCAAGCUGCCCCUAAAAUGACGAGGCUGUUGUUGUAUAGGAAAUCAGUUACCACGAUGGAUUUCAGAUCCCCUUCUCUUAUAAGGUGUCGCCCAUCUUCCCCAUUAUCCCCUGUGUAUUUAUACCGGUGUUCUCUGUUUGUCUCUUGCCAGUUCGUUUUGUUUGUGAAACCUACCAGUGUUUGUUCCCCUGCUCCUACCGGUUUCUUGCACCUGUUUUCUAGUCCUUUCCGGUUUUGACCGUUCUGCCUGCCCUGAACAUGACCCUGACCCUGAGCCUGACCCUGCCUGCCAUUCUGUACCUUGCCCCACCUAACUGGAUUAUUGACCCCUGCCUGUCCUGACCCUGAGACUGCCUGCCGUUCUGGACUCUUUGCACCCUCUCUAGAUUAUUUACCUCUGCCUGCCUUUGACCUGUCGUUUGCCUGCCCCUGUAUUAGAAAUAAACUUUUGUUUCUUCAACACUG